RNAcentral lists this long non-coding RNA (536 nucleotides) under Homo sapiens (human). RNAcentral describes it as "HSALNT0064239". The record is from RNAcentral. Lineage: Eukaryota; Metazoa; Chordata; Mammalia; Primates; Hominidae.
CUUCCAUCCCUCCCACCAUGUGAGGGCACAGCAUCCUCUUGUGCAGCAACAGGGCACCAUCAGGUGGAUGCAGGAGGAUCCGGUAAUGGGGCACCAUCUUGGAAGCAGAGAGCAGCCACAUGCCAUCGCCAUGAUUUUGAGCUUUACAGUCUCCAGAACUGGAAAUAGUUGGAUGAUUAAUGAGAUAAUGAAUGUGAGGAGAACUCCCUGGAGGAAAGACAUUUCACAAACAUGAAGUGAAGACUCUGGCUGACUCACUGAUUUCAGCAGCUCAGAGGGUGGGAGGCAGAGAAGUACGCAGGACAAACUUGGAAUUGAAUCACUUGUAUAAUGUAGCCAGGAGCUGCUUUGCUUGGGUUUUCAUAGUCUUUCAGAAUAAAAAGUCCUAUCCCAGAACCACUCCCUUUAAAAUAAAUUGAUGUUUUCAGUGUCUGAAGCUUUUCUAGGAGAAUGGAAAUGAACUGGUAAAAUUUUAAAAAGCCAAAGGCAAAAGAGAAAAACUAACAGCUGGAAGAAUUAAAUGAAUACUAUAUCCA